CCUACGGGAGGCAGCAGUGGGGAAUAUUGCACAAUGGGGGAAACCCUGAUGCAGCGACGCCGCGUGAAGGAAGAAGUAUUUCGGUAUAUAAACUUCUAUCAGCAGGGAAGAAAAUGACGGUACCUGACUAAGAAGCCCCGGCUAACUACGUGCCAGCAGCCGCGGGAAUACGUAGGGGGCAAGCGUUAUCCGGAUUUACUGGGUGUAAAGGGAGCGUAGGCGGUUUAGCAAGUCAGAAGUGAAAGCCCGGGGCUCAACUCCGGGACUGCUUUUGAAACUGUUGAACUAGAUUGCAGGAGAGGUAAGUGGAAUUCCUAGUGUAGCGGUGAAAUGCGUAGAUAUUAGGAGGAACACCAGUGGCGAAGGCGGCUUACUGGACUGUAAAUGACGCUGAGGCUCGAAAGCGUGGGGAGCAAACAGGAUUAGAUACCCCAGUAGUC
RNAcentral lists this ribosomal RNA (440 nucleotides) under uncultured bacterium. RNAcentral describes it as "partial 16S ribosomal RNA". It matches the Rfam family "Bacterial small subunit ribosomal RNA", at positions 338 to 795 of the family's 1533-position model. The record is from RNAcentral.